CAUGUAAUAAGAAGAACAGACACAUAAUUAUAUGCAAUUGAUUCUAGGGAAGCAUUACUGCUCAUGAUAGCUAAAUGUCAAUAAUUUAUGACACCAUAUCAUCACAAAUUUCUUUUGAAGAAUAACCUGUCAAGAAUUUAUCCCCAAAUGCCACUGCUUUCUGCUAUUCCCAAAGUCGUAACAAAUUUCUUUCCAUUGUUAAAAGGAAUGGACUCAAUUCGAAUGAUAGAAUAUCAAUGGUCGAAGAAGGUUGAUGCUGAUCUUCUGCUAGUUCUUCUCAAUCCUAACCCCUCCCUUAAUAUUAAUGGUCCCCAUGGGACUUGAUUACUACUGGCACCCCGUGUACAACUAGCACAGUUUAAAUGGUAUAUCACAGUGAAGUCAUCGUGGAAUAAAUAAAUGGCCUGCAUGCAUGGACCACACAACUAAGCAAUAAAAAUUAAAAAUUAAUUUAAAAAAAAAAAGUUUUUAAAAAAGAAAAAAAGAAAUGGGAUUGUCG
This 499-nucleotide long non-coding RNA is filed under the name Prunus persica (peach). RNAcentral's name for it is "long non-coding RNA (PPER_LNC006550)". Lineage: Eukaryota; Viridiplantae; Streptophyta; Magnoliopsida; Rosales; Rosaceae. The record is from RNAcentral.